GUGCUCACUUUGUCAGCAUAUAUACUAAAAGUGGAACAGUACAGAGAUUAGCAUGGCCCCUGUGCAGAGAUGAAAUGUAAAUUCACGAAGCAUUCCAUAUUUGG
Molecule: small nuclear RNA, 104 nt
Organism: Ailuropoda melanoleuca (giant panda)
Lineage: Eukaryota; Metazoa; Chordata; Mammalia; Carnivora; Ursidae
Source: Ensembl